RNAcentral lists this ribosomal RNA (429 nucleotides) under Acidobacteriota bacterium. RNAcentral describes it as "Acidobacteria bacterium partial 16S ribosomal RNA". It matches the Rfam family "Bacterial small subunit ribosomal RNA", at positions 355 to 776 of the family's 1533-position model. The record is from RNAcentral. Lineage: Bacteria; Pseudomonadati; Acidobacteriota.
UGGGGAAUUUUGGACAAUGGGGGAAACCCUGAUCCAGCCAUCCCGCGUGUGCGAUGAAGGCCUUCGGGUUGUAAAGCACUUUUGGCAGGAAAGAAACGUCAUGGGUUAAUACCCCGUGAAACUGACGGUACCUGCAGAAUAAGCACCGGCUAACUACGUGCCAGCAGCCGCGGUAAUACGUAGGGUGCAAGCGUUAAUCGGAAUUACUGGGCGUAAAGCGUGCGCAGGCGGUUCGGAAAGAAAGAUGUGAAAUCCCAGAGCUCAACUUUGGAACUGCAUUUUUAACUACCGUGCUAGAGUGUGUCAGAGGGAGGUGGAAUUCCGCGUGUAGCAGUGAAAUGCGUAGAUAUGCGGAGGAACACCGAUGGCGAAGGCAGCCUCCUGGGAUAACACUGACGCUCAUGCACGAAAGCGUGGGGAGCAAACAGG